ACAGGUGGUGGCUUGGUGAUCGAACACCUGUUUUGCAUGCAGGAGGUUGCAGGUUCAAUACCUGUCUCCUAUA
Molecule: non-coding RNA, 73 nt
Organism: Podarcis lilfordi (Lilford's wall lizard)
Lineage: Eukaryota; Metazoa; Chordata; Lepidosauria; Squamata; Lacertidae
Source: the annotation of a GenBank genome assembly